UGGUGGCUGUGAGCAGAUCUGCACAAGUCAAGUAACAGGCGCUGUGUGCAGCUGUGUGACAGGAAUGCUGCAAAGAGAUGGGAAGAGCUGCCGAGUCACCAGUAUGAGUACUGACCUUCAACCCCUGCUUCUUCUGAUAGCUGUUGUUGUAAGCGUCAAUAUCUUACUGCAAACACACACCUCAGUUUUCUUCUCUUAACACCCACCAAGCAAGUUCAAGGGAGAGAGAGGCGUAUACCGACGAAAGGGAAGAGAAAAGAAAAGCAAAACGGAGCCAGUGAAGGGAUAUGCAUGUGAUGCAUCAGCAGUCCUGCAGUGAGGACCACCUCUGAGCAGUUCCCUUCAUCGAAGUGAAAACUGUGAUCAAAUGUAACCAAGUGAUCCUUCACCAGCUGGACAUCUCAAACAUAAACAACAUGCCUCGAUCCAAUAUGAUAACCUGACUUCCUUCAGACCCUGAAAAAAAUCCCAAAUCUUUUCUUUGGCACAACAUCUAAACACCAGAAACCAAAAAAAAAGAGAAGCAAACUGUCACUUUGAAACGUAGUGAUAAAAAGACAACUACUGAAUAUUUUCCAGCUACUAAUGACAGAUUAGCAAGAUUUACAUAUUAGAUGAUGCAUUUCCCUAAAAGAAAAAAAAUCACUGAAACGUGAGAGCACGUGUUGCAAGAAUGGAUGAUAAUUCUCAACACCAGUUAUAUUGUUGUUGUUUUUAUUUAGUUGAUUUGAUGAAAUGCAUACCCUAUCUUGAUCUAUUUCUCAAUAUGCCAUGUUGUUUCUUAUUUAAACCCAUUUUUUUUGCCAUACUAAAGUAUUGCUGAGAUCAAAAUGCCAAUCAACAUUUGCAUUGCUUUGUAUUCCUGUGGAUGCAAAUGAGUGAAUAGUGUUCGGUACCAACACACAAAUGUUCUUGAGUAGCCAACUUUUCAAGCAUCACUUAUUUAAGCUGUAUAUAAUAGGCCAUGUUUGAUGGACGUGAACUCUUUUGCCCUGUACUAUAAAUACUCAAUGUACUGUAUGAAUCACUGACAUAAGGUGAAUUUUUAGUCUUCAACUCCAUUUGGAAUUUAGUUUGGCUAUAUCACUCAUACUUGAUGAUGAUGAUAAUGAUAUUAAUGGAAGAUUCAAGGACGGUUUCUAAUCACUUUGCUCAUGACACCACACAACUGUAGGUUUGGGACUGCCGUGACACCGUGGGAACGUAUGUAGUCAGCUGAUUGGUGACCAAACCCUUGAUGUCCAUACUUACUGUAACAAUGUUUUCUUAUUCUAGGGGGUUGUUUGUUUGUUUUGUUUUGUUUUUAAUCCGAUAUGAUUUAUUUGAGAAUAAAGUGAGCAAUUCACAUGGA
Long non-coding RNA from Sinocyclocheilus grahami, 1351 nucleotides. RefSeq lists it as uncharacterized. NCBI's taxonomy places the organism in Eukaryota, Metazoa, Chordata, Actinopteri, Cypriniformes, Cyprinidae. The record is from RefSeq and is a predicted model, not a curated record. The transcript has 2 exons.